UUGGAGGUUGCUGCAGAACAGAUCACUGGACCUCUUGAAGACACCGAUGAUAAUUACUCGUACGCAGCCUUCUAUCUCGGACACAUUAUAACAUGUCCACACCGGGAUCGGUGAACAGUCAAGAUAACAUGGUGUUCUACUAGGUGACUGAACAGUCAACAUAUAACGUGUGUGAUCCUUCCCCACCCUUUCCAUCUGCAGAAAACAUCCGGAGACUCCCUGUUUUGCGUCUACCCGUAGCAUGUUGACCGCUUCCUGGGUUAAACAAACAAAAUGGAUCUUCUACAUGCGACCAGCUAGAACUUUUUCUUCUGUUUUGAACACGUCAUCAGUGAACUAUCGUGACGACCCUGUCAAAGAUAGCAGGUAGGUUACGAGCAAGUAAUGCGAUCUUUUGUGCCCGUACAUCGUCGUGACGUAGACAGCAUAUGUUAAGGUCAGUUAAG
Molecule: long non-coding RNA, 446 nt
Filed under: Triticum aestivum (bread wheat)
Lineage: Eukaryota; Viridiplantae; Streptophyta; Magnoliopsida; Poales; Poaceae
Description: long non-coding RNA (TAES_LNC016615)
Source: RNAcentral